RNAcentral lists this ribosomal RNA (237 nucleotides) under uncultured microorganism. Its description in RNAcentral is "partial 16S ribosomal RNA". It matches the Rfam family "Bacterial small subunit ribosomal RNA", at positions 9 to 235 of the family's 1533-position model. The record is from RNAcentral.
GAGUUUGAUCUUGGCUCAGGAUGAACGCUGUCGGCGUGCCUAAUACAUGCAAGUCGAGCGAACAGACGAGGAGCUUGCUCCUCUGACGUUAGCGGCGGACGGGUGAGUAACACGUGGAUAACCUACCUAUAAGACUGGGAUAACUUCGGGAAACCGGAGCUAAUACCGGAUAAUAUAUUGAACCGCAUGGUUCAAUAGUGAAAGACGGUUUUGCUGUCACUUAUAGAUGGAUCCGCG